RNAcentral lists this long non-coding RNA (1605 nucleotides) under Equus caballus (horse). Its description in RNAcentral is "lncRNA (ENSECAG00000048571.1)". Lineage: Eukaryota; Metazoa; Chordata; Mammalia; Perissodactyla; Equidae. The record is from RNAcentral.
CAAAUACUUUUGUUUGUUGUUUAUAUAUUUGACAUUUCUUUAAAAAGGCCUCGUGUUUGGGAUUUCCAAUAACAGUGGUAGUCUGCUGUUCAACAUUUUCAAUCCGCGAAUGCUUGUGGUGUGCCUGGGACGUGUAUGUGGCUCGCUGUUUGUUAGAAAGUUUGAUGUUUCGUGUGUACCUAACUCAUAGAUGGACUGGGUUUCACUUAGUCUAUCAAUUUGUGAAAUAAGGAAGAUUAGCCCUGAGCUAACAUCUGCUGCCAACCCUCUUUUUUUUGCUGAGGAAGACUGGCCUUGAGCUAACAUCCAUGCCCAUCUUCUUCUGCUUUAUAUGUGGGACGCCUGCCACAGGAUGACUUGACAAGUGGUGCAUAGGUCCGCACCUGGGAUCCAAACCUGCAAACCCCGGGCUGCUGAAGCGGAACGUGCAAACUUAACUGCUGUGCCACCGGGCCAGUCCCUGUAUGUCUGGUAAGUUUUGACUGGAUGCCAGGUAUUAGGAAUUUUACCUUGUGAAGUGCUGGAUAUUCUUGUAUUCCUGUAAUUCUUGAGCUUUGUUCUGGGGUACAGUUAAGUUACUUGGAAAUAGUUCAAUUCUUUUGGGUCUUGCUUUUAAGAUUUGUUAGAUGGGACCAGACCAUCUAACCAGUGCUAAUUCUAGGGCCGAUUAAUCCCCCUGAGACCUACAUGAAUGCUCUUCCCAAUGCCCCGUAAUUAAUCUGGCUAGUGGGAAUAGGCACUAUUCCCAGCCUGUGUGUGCAUCAAACACCUUUCUCUCUAACCCUUUGAAGUGGUUCUUUCCCCAGCCUUGGGUAGUUUUCUUACACAUAUGUGUUAAGCAGGACUUUGGCACACUAGAAAACUCUCUCUGUACAGCUCUCUCCUCUGGUGCUCUGCCCUAUGACCUCGAGCUGUCUUGGUCUCCCUAGAUUCUCAGCUCUGACUCCUUCACUCUGGGACUCCCCUGAACUCUGCCUCAGUUUUCCUUCCCUGCACUGUAGCCUGGGAACUCGAGGCAGUGAAGUGGGGCAAUACUAAGCCUCACCUCCUUUGUUGUACUUUUCUCAGUGUAUUGAAAACCAUUGUUUCAUAUUUUUUGUCCCUCUUUUGGUUGUUUUAGGUGGGGAAGUAAAUCUGGUCCUUGUUUCUCUGUCUUGGCUUCUGCAAAUGGAGGUCCAAAUGUCACACCCAUCUGGAACACUUACCACCCAAAACCAUUGAAUAUUGAAACUCUUAAGUUAGGUUGCAUACUGUUGAACUCACAUCCAAUUGAUUCCAGGCGAAGACAGCUAUUUUCUUGUCUUUACAUCCCUACAGACUUAACCAAUAGCCUGGUGCUUGGCUGACACUCAGUAAAAGCUGGCGAAUGAAUAAACUAUUUUGAGCAAACAGCUGUCCAUCUGCUUCUGGUGUUUUCUUCCAACAUUUGUUGGUAGGCUUUUGCGAUUUUCUUCUUGCCUGCCAGCAGCAAAAGAAAGCUAGGCAAGAUGGAAAUUUCUGGGACUUCUUAUUCAUGAUUGUAAUUAUCCACAAAAAUGUACCCUUUAAAAAAGCUUAUUUACAGGCAUGAGGGAACUUUUGGGGCUGAUGGCAAUGUUCUAAAAC